AUGGACGCGUCAUCGUCGGAGGACCGUCAGUCGCCACGCAGCAGGCAGCUGCAGCUGCAGGGCCCGCGCCCCCCGCGGCUGUCCGUCAGCAAGGACUCCCACAAGGUCAGGAAGCCGCCCGUCGUGCCGCUGCCCUACGGAGCCCGGCAGCAAGCCCCCAACAACCGCCACCAGCAAGCUCAGCCGCGGGCGCCGGUCAUCAUCUACGACGCCUCGCCCAAGGUCAUCCACACCCAGCCCGGCGAGUUCCUGGCGCUCGUCCAGCGCCUCACCGGCCCGGGCGCGCCGGCUCAGUACUCCGCCGAGGAGGCGGCGGGGUCCUCUGCCAUGCCGCCGCAGUUCCAGCCGCAGGAACUGCCUUUCUCGCCGGCGGCGAGGUACGCCGCGAUCGAGAGGUCCGUCCGGCCGCUGCCGCCUGGGCCCGCGCCGUACGCCGCCGGCUCCUGGCUGGACCUGGAUGGCUUCGCGGAGGUCCUCGGCCCGGGACGGCCCGGGAUCCUCUCGCCCGUGCCGUCAGCGCUGCCGGCGGCGGCCUCGGCGGGGCUGUUCUCGCCGCUGCCGUUCGACACCAGCUCCCUGUCCUGGCUCAACGACCUGAGCCCGUUCCUCGCCUCCGCCGGCGCCCGCGACGCGCCGCCCUUCGCCUCGAGCCCUGGCGGCCUGCUGCUUGCCACGCCCACCGUGCCCUCGCCGGGGAUGAUGAUGCGGUUCUUCAGCGACUUUCCGGACCUGUAA
Molecule: ribosomal RNA, 735 nt
Filed under: Triticum aestivum (bread wheat)
Lineage: Eukaryota; Viridiplantae; Streptophyta; Magnoliopsida; Poales; Poaceae
Description: partial small subunit ribosomal RNA
Source: RNAcentral